CGGGCGGCGCCGUGCUUCGGUCGCUGCGGGCUUUGCAUGCGGAUGUUAGGACAUCUGGCGCGCUUUGGAUGCUAGGAGGCCUCAUACAGCAUCACCAGAAACAAGUUCUUGCAAUGCUCCGAGUACGUCGCAAACCCGGAUGACUUUAUCUGCACCCGAACCAAUAAUGCAAGACAACUCCGACGGCGGUGUCGCCGAGCGAGCCCGAGGCCUUCGCGCGUGGCUUCAGACCGCACCGUAAGCCCGCUUUACUAUACCGACAAUACUAUAGUUCUGGUAGUGACGAGCUAGAUAGAUUAGCGGUUGCUGUUUGUAAACUAUGCCCAUGUGAGUUAUCAAGAUUGAAGUAAAAAAUUAAAGGUUGUCUAAAGUCCGGUCGCCGAGCAGAUAGAAUUUCGUCCAAUGACCCCAAGCUACCCAACCUUAUCGCUCGCGUGUUAUUAUAUUGCUGUCGCGCUCGCACAC
Ostrinia nubilalis (European corn borer) is the source of this 465-nucleotide long non-coding RNA. RefSeq lists it as uncharacterized. The record is from RefSeq and is a predicted model, not a curated record. Lineage: Eukaryota; Metazoa; Arthropoda; Insecta; Lepidoptera; Crambidae. The transcript has 3 exons.